ACAACAUGCGGACCGUUGGUCUACCGAGCAAUAUCACCCGCUCGGUGGAAGAAGAUCUUCCCUUUGUCGU
RNAcentral lists this microRNA precursor (70 nucleotides) under Bombyx mori (domestic silkworm). Its description in RNAcentral is "mir-2774 microRNA precursor family". It matches the Rfam family "mir-2774 microRNA precursor family". The record is from Rfam by way of RNAcentral. Lineage: Eukaryota; Metazoa; Arthropoda; Insecta; Lepidoptera; Bombycidae.